Molecule: ribosomal RNA, 460 nt
Filed under: uncultured bacterium
Lineage: Bacteria
Description: partial 16S ribosomal RNA
Rfam family: Bacterial small subunit ribosomal RNA
Source: RNAcentral
CCUACGGGUGGCUGCAGUGAGGAAUAUUGGUCAAUGGACGAGAGUCUGAACCAGCCAAGUAGCGUGAAGGAUGACUGCCCUAUGGGUUGUAAACUUCUUUUAUAUGGGAAUAAAAUGUUCCACGUGUGGGAUUUUGUAUGUAACAUAUGAAUAAGGAUCGGCUAACUCCGUGCCAGCAGCCGCGGUAAUACGGAGGAUCCGAGCGUUAUCCGGAUUUAUUGGGUUUAAAGGGAGCGUAGGUGGAUUGUUAAGUCAGUUGUGAAAGUUUGCGGCUUAACCGUAAAAUUGCAGUUGAAACUGGCAGUCUUGAGUACAGUAGAGGUGGGCGGAAUUCGUGGUGUAGCGGUGAAAUGCUUAGAUAUCACGAAGAACUCCGAUUGCGAAGGCAGUUCACUGGACUGCAACUGACACUGAGGCUCGAAAGUGUGGGUAUCAAACAGGAUUAGAUACCCUAGUAGUC